UGUAAAUAAAUCCCAUUAUUUUAAAUUAAGUUAUACAAUGCAUUUAAGGAAUGCAUGGGUUUUAAACUUACAUUGUAUAUAAAAAUAUAUAUUUUUUGACAUCCGGACAAUAGCUCUGACAAUGCAAAUGAUCUGCUCUUAGCUAGUAGAUUGCAGUGCUGACAACCAGAGGAAACGAGAUGUAGACUCAGUAAUCACAAAAACAUCCAUCUAAUUUGUUUUCAAGGAUUAAUAACGUGAUUCAAUCUUACUUAUUAAUGAACUGUGUACCUACAUAAUUGGAUACAGCUGUGACAACAACUUCUGCAUUUAUCUGGUGCUGCUGCUGUAGACAGCUACCACUGUAGCACUGCAGAUCCACUUCCCUCUCAUUUUUUCAGAUGCUUAGCUGCUACACGACUGACCUGAUUUGUUAUGAACCCCUGUUUCUUAUGCCUGUAAAGAUAAAAUGAACUUGGUGAGGAUUUCCUGACUAAACUUUAAGGACUGUCCUUCUUCUGUUUUUUUAGCCUGCAUUCUUCACAAUCACACGUUCUUAAUGCAGCACAGUAAUUAGGCUCAAGAUAGGCUACUCCAUGGGACAACACCGAUAGCACUACCUUUCUUAGUCUUCAAUUCAUCAGGUGUAUCAGCAUCCCUGUCCCUCACUGCCCUCUCCACUCGUCAGUUACAGAAUCUAGGACUCGAGUGGUGCUUAGUCACUCUACAACAAACUCUUCAGAGAACUGGGCAGGCAGGAUCGGUCUUUCUUGUCUCACUUUGAGACCUGGCCUUUAAAGAGUCUUGCCUCAGAAAGCCCCAAAACCACAGAACACACACAUCACCCUGCCGAGCGGUCAUGAGCGAGCCGUAAAUGGUGCCACUGACACCUUACCCAGCGGUGGCUGCAGGGCAGGUUGGGGUCAGAAGGCGUGUUUCUGCUCUUGCUGAGGAUGUGGGCUACGGCAGCGAGCAGGGAUUCUGCCAUCCGCCUGCUCUCGUGCUCUUGGCAGUCUGCAGUGGUAACUCUUUGUCUGGUGGCUCGAAUCCUGCCUGGAUGUUUUUCCACUGCCCUAGAUACAAGGAUGCUUUGACGUUACUUUGGAUCUUACCCAGGGUAGAUGCUGCAACUCUGUUUUUCCCCUGGGAAAAGACGGUGUGUUCUGAUCUGUUCUAGGCACGUGUUUCAAGUUGACUUUUACAUUUGAAAUCAACUAUGCAAGAAAAUUGAAAAAUGUCUUUGUCCCCAGAGUGAGACUAUCUUUCUUUAGAACAUGAACAACACAAACAGGAAUUGUGUUGUUUGUCUUCUGGCUUUGGGAGCAGUUAUAAUGCCAGUAAGAAUUAUGGGAUGUGUUGUCUGUGUCCACAGCAUCUCUGAGCCCGGGACAGCGAAGUGAGCUAUUACAGACCUAUGGACGCUGCGGCAGCUUCUUUUGAACUGCAUGAAGUUGUGCCAGAUCUGAUCAAAAGAAUUUAAGUGUGCUGGAUUUACUCACUUGUGCGCUGUGUGAACAACAGAGUAAGCUGAGCGUGUUCCUUUCCUGCAAAAUCUAGGAGAGGCUUCAGAAACUCAGGGUUUGAAGCACUGGAAAUUGUGCUGAGAAGCACCUAGAGUUUCCAUCCUUUAAGCAAUAAGAUCUCUGGUUCGUGUAUAAGAAGAAGAGAUACCAUUUGCAAUUGAGUGCAUUUGCUUACUUCUCUAUUGGUUGUUGAAAACUCUGCCACUGACGGCUUGUUUUCCUGGUUUGCUUGGCUGGCUUGUGAGGGUUUUAGUCACUGUGUUCGGCUUUGCUGAUGCCCCACUUUGCAUCUAAAAUGUCUUGGCAAAGAGCAUGAAGUGUUUUUCCUCUUCUUCCCCAGAGGCUCUGCGGAAGCUUCUGCACAAGCUAAGUCUGCCUGUCACCAUAUGUUUAAAAAAUAAAAAGCAAUUACCCCUGUUGUCAGGCAGCCGGUGAGUGAUGUGCAUCUUCGCCUUGGAGAAGGUUCCCAGCCCCCGCUAUGCUGCUUGUGCGUGGAAGCUGGGCUCAUAACACUGCAAAAUAUAAUCCAGGAUGGUGCCAUCAGCCUGUGAUUGGCUUUGGAGACAGGAAAUUUAAUGGACUAAGCUCUAAAGUCAAUAAAAGACCGUGUUUUGCCCUUGCUAGUUUUGGCUUGAGAUAAAAGCAACUGUGGGCGAUGUGUUUGAUUGGUAGGAAUCCUACACAGUGGAAAGUACAUUAGCAUUUCAGAUUUAUAGUAUUUCUAGCCCAACGCCAUGUGUCCAAAAAUAGACAGUAAUUUCAGCAGCAACAACAAAACCCAUAUGAAAAGUGAUUAAGCGACAACACGUCCAUGGGGCAGGAUAUUUUUUACUCUUGGGAGUAAGUAGUUGGCUUUUUUCUGUACACUUAGUUUUCUGUCCUUUCUAGUGUAAUGCACAAAUCGCACAUGUAUUUAUAAUUUGCGUUGGUAUUUGCAAACAACGUCUUGAGCUAAUGAGAGUCCGGUAAGUACAAUUCAAGAAGAAAUAUAUCACAAUUGAUAUAUUUUUAAUAUGAAAAAUAAUUCUUUUUGUUCUAUUUUUAGAAGACAAAAAUAAUAAUAAAAAAAGAACAAUGUCUGGAUAAAUAGACCAGUCUAAAGCCAGUGUUCAGUUACACAGAAAUUAAGUUCAAAUAAUUAAGGCUUGGUCACAUUGUAAGUAUCUGAAAACAGCGCUUGAUAAUCAGAGGACUGUGAAAAGGUCAAGCAUCCUUAAUAGUAGCCACAGUUUGAAGCCUUGCAGUGAAGCAUGAAAGCCAACCUCUCAUUUCCUGUGUUGCGAUGUAGUCAUUGAAGGUAUUUCCCAAAUGUACAUUUACAACAACUUCACCUGGCAACGGGAGAAGUGAGACUUCUUUUGCUAGGGACAAAGCCGUACCUUUGAGAAUCACAUCGUGCCUCCGAGCUUUGCAGUCUGGAAGUGAGAGCAGAGAACUGCUGCCUCCUUCCUCCCAGCUGGGCUGUACAAGCGCAGCAGAGACGGGUGCUUUCCUUCUUUACCUGUCUGUCUUCCCCAGCAUCUGCGUUUGCUGUGCGCAGGAGUCCAGGGUGCCUCGGGUCAUCUUCGCCUGACAGUAAGCCACUCACAGCACUGGGGCCUCAGGUGUUUAUACAUCACUCAGAAAGAAAAAAAAAGGGCUUUGCAGAUUUUUGGAGGGAACAGGAAUCCUUCUCUUUACUCAUCUUUUUCCACUUCUGUGUUUCUCUGUCCCCUAAGACUUACUUUCAUCUUUAUUUUGCACAACACUCUUAUGAGAUGAUAGGGAGAAAUUAAAAUUUUUGGCGAGGACCACAGUGGUUGUGUGGAGGAUUACUAAAAUAGAAGCCUAUAGAGAACCAUCUUCUUUUCCUCCUAAAAUCUUUUUGAAUUUACCACCCUCUGCCACCACUAAAGUAGUUAAGAAAGAACCAAAACUAGGAUUGCCAACUCCGGCAGAGAAGUGAAAAAAGGAGAGUUGGGACAACAUUGAAUUGUGCACCUGGAAUCGUACAAAUAUCAAGAUAAAGAUAUAUAUUGUUAGGUACAUGUUUCCAAGUAUCAGUGAAAGAAUUAAUUGCAACCAAAACCGGGGAAGUCUUUUCUAAUAUGCAACAGGUGAUUUAGGUCCAGAGGCGUAAGCUGCUGAUGGAUCCUGGAGGCUGCACCUGGCUUCCUCAGCAGAGCUAUGUGGGCAGCUGCUCCGAGGAAGCAUCUUCUGAAGUUAUUUUAGUUGCUGUCUCAACUUUCCAGGCGAUGUCGUUGCCAUCUAUCUUUGCCAGAAUCAUAGCAGGGCAGAGGUGUGCGUCGUUCCAGUGCAGCCAGCCAUCACAAGCCUCGCGCUGCCCACCUGUAUCUCACCUUCUUUUGUAUCAGGACAGCUACCUGGCUGUCAAACCGCCUGCUCGCACGGAUGCAUCACAACUGUCUGGAUUUCACAGCCAGUUUCAAAGAAGUUAAAGAACUCCAAGCAAGUGCUUUAAAAAUAGGAGUGAAGUGAUCCCAGUUAUCUUCCUUAGCAAGAUGUUCCCGUGCUCUAGUGAAGCAGAACAAAUACUUGGCAGGGGCAGCUACAUGGGUGCCUGGGGGAUGCCAGGUCAGAGACUGGUGCUGCAGAGAUGUGAGCUGGUACAGUUGUGCCAGGGCUGUAGCAUCUGUAAACAUGAGUGUGACAAAUGCUGCCUCGUUGUUUUCCUCACAGUUGCAAUGGUUGAGUUUGUGGUAAUCUUUGUUUCACUCUGUCCAAAAUCAACUGCUUCUCCUGCCACAGGCAGAUGCUGUUGGGCCAACUACUCGCAGCCAGCUCUCCAGCUUUACCCGGUUACUGAUUCAGGAAUAGACAUCUCCAUUCUCUGGAGAAAAAAAAACAAAACAUCAGCUUAAAUCCCUCCAUUUGCCUGUCAUGUGUUGGGCAAAUGGUGCUGACAUUAGGAAAUGUGCAGCACUUGCCACGUGCACUCUGUAACAGCGUGGCGUAGCCAGCAGCCAUCGCGUGCAGGCAGCGCUUCAUAGUGCUGACAGGAUCCUGACAGAGAGCCACGGUACUCCGAAAGGAGGACAAACGAAUAUAAAGGGCCCUUCAGGCUGUUCUCCACACUGCUCCACUACGCGAGAAGAAAAAUCCAUGUCCAACCCCCUUCACCAGCCAUCCCACCACCUGCACCCUCCUUGGAAGCUGCCCUGGCUGUCACAGGCAGCCGCGGCCAGCCCAGGAACGAUCUGGGGCCCUUCAGCCUUGCCUGCCCCCACAACAUCGGCGUCCUGCUGGGCCUUCACCUGUGGGAUGCUGGUUUAAAAAGGGGUCCCCCCACACAGAGCACCGUCAGAGCUUGAAAAGGAAUGUUAAAAGCUGACUGGGACCUCAGCACGGAGUGAUGUGGAACAUUGAUGUGCCCAUGGAAUCUACCUGCCCAUUAGGAAAAGGACACGAAGAGACUUCAAUGGCAGGGCGGUGUUCCUGGCAUUAUGCUGAUGAGCUGCUGUGUGCAUUGUACGACAUCUGUGCAGAGCCUUGAGCAACAGAUGACUAAGUAUCAUCUGAUGUUCUGUUAUUAAAAAGUAGGUGAAUGUGUGUGCUUCACUGAAGGAAGGAAAUGACAAAAUUUGGGCGACACACUUGGAAAGAACUCCAUUGCAAAACCCUUUUUUCCUCUUCAGGGCAAAGGAUUCACUUCUAACAACUUGGUUGUAAUAAGCCAAAAGUCAUAAAAAAGCACAGUCAUUUGCUUUUGAGUCCUUUGGAGUUAUGAUAGUGCGAUAGUGACAGAAAUUUUAUGGGGCAUAUUCCCAGUGUGAAGUUGUGGAGCGGGCAGAAGAUUCCCUGCUAUCUCUAGUAACAAUUGGGUCUCUGUAUGCAGGUAUGUGCCCAGCUGCACUCUGAAUUUAGAAAUCAAGUGUCACUCUCAGCAGUGACUUUGUAAAACCUUGAUUUUUGUAAUGUAAAUCAUCUCCUAACGUGACCUUGAGUGAGGCAGAUCAAUGCAGGACCACUGGAAGCAGCACUCGGUCUCAGCAGCAGCACUGACACCGAGCUGGGCAGCCCUGACUAUGAACACGGCAGUUGACUUCCAUUUCGUCCUGGCACCGAGCUCAUCCUUUUCCUUCAAGGCCCCUCUCCUCUGCUGCAGGUUCCAGGUGAGCCGCUGUGGAGGCAGAGCUGGGUGCUGGAGGUCUACAGGAAUAUUUUGUGUCCUUGGGGGUAUUUUGGUUGUACUUAAGCAGCAGGUUCUUGUGGAGAUGCUGCAGACCACCUGGCUGUUUUGUGAGACAAGGUCACAGAGGCCCCCUGAGCAGGAAUAGGGGUUUACGCUUUGACCAGUCCUUAGCAUCGUUGGGGCCAAGUGGUUGCAGGCUGAGCUGGGGUGAUAUGUUGAGCACAAUGCCUGGUAAUUGCUCACAAAAGGUUCCUGCUCUCAGAGCUAGUAUUUUAAGUAUGUGCAGGGAGAAGAGAAGCUUUUACAUCUUUAAUGCUAUUGUGAUCAUAUAUUGUGAUCACUUUAUGACUUCAAAUAUUCACAUGAAAAACACAGGAAAUAACAGAAAUGCAAAAUAAGCUCAAGAAACUUGAUAGCCUGUGCAUCACUGUAAUUUCCAUUAUUUCCUGGAUUUGCUUAGAUCAGAAAUAGUACAGGAAGUGCUUUUUCUUGUGGUAUUUUUGCUUCCUCUCCCAGCAGAGCCAGAGCAUUACACAACAACAUGAAAAUGAGAAAGGGACCUGUGCUGCUGAUGGCCCAGCUGCAGAGUGCUGGUGUUUGCUGCCUGUGGCAGUCCCAGCGUGGCGGUGGUGGGUGAGGGCUGGCAGCCACACGGGCUGGAAGUGUCCUGGGCACUGCUGGUGCCACAGGGAAGGGCAGGCAGCAGGCAGCAGGAUGUAGCAGGGGUCAAGCACGGGGUGAGCACUGACAUCACUUCUCCUCUCUCCCCAUUAUUUGAAGCGGUAGAGAGGCCAACCAACCAGAGGCACUGCUUUGAAGCUUCAGGGUAGUUUUACAGUAUCUGAAUGAAUCUACCCACCUCCCACACAUGGCCUAGUGAACACCCAGAGGGGUUUAGCCCAUUCCUCAGGCGUCCAUUAUCAUUUUGAGACAUUCUGAGGUCUCAUUUAGAGAGGUGGGACUCCUAUAACCUUCCUGCAGCCAGCCUGCUUGCUGACCAAUCGACAUUUUGUGGGGUGAGCCAGAGCGUAUGCAUUAAAUCCUACAUUAAAGCUCUGCUGAUAGCAUUAUGCUUAUUAAAUAAUACAAACAUUUUUCCUGUUUGCCAAACAAUGGGGAUCCCUAGUGCACACUGGGGAGGUAUGAACUAUAAAAGCCUCUAUUCUUUUUUAAUUAGGCCAUAUCUAAUUAAAAUGAUUGCCAGCCAUUACUAGCAUUUAUAAAGUAUUUUCCAAAUCAGCAUGACUCAUGGGUCUGUAUGGAGACAGAUUGCACCGCAGCCUAUUUGGGAUGUGUUUGCCUUUGCCAUGCAAUUGUCCUUUAUCAUCACAGGCAGGCAGUGUUUGUCUGAGUUAUCGCUUAGCGUGCGUUGCUAGCCUUCCUGGCCUCUGUGGUUUCUCUUUUUAAUGAACUGAUUAGCAUAUUUUGCAUACAUAUGAAAUCUGGGUUUGAGAUCCAGUCUGGGGCUCUGAACGGACAAGUUAAGGCAAAAGUGGAAGCAGGACUGUCUUUAGAAGAUGCUGGUGGGGAAUUUAACAGAUGGAGAUGACAGGGUACUUCAGUAGUCAGCUACAGAAAUCAAUCUGGAGACAUUUUCUGCCCUUCUUUUACUGUGAGUGGGAACAGGAACCAUUGCCUGCACUUCAAGCAGCCCACUCCUACUCAACCCUGGCUGAAGUAGAGACUGCUUCAGAGCAAAGA
Oxyura jamaicensis (ruddy duck) is the source of this 7335-nucleotide long non-coding RNA. RefSeq lists it as uncharacterized. The transcript is spliced from 5 exons. The record is from RefSeq and is a predicted model, not a curated record. Lineage: Eukaryota; Metazoa; Chordata; Aves; Anseriformes; Anatidae.